GCUAGGCAUGGUGGUGCGUGCCUGUAAUCCCAGCUACUCGGGAGGCUGAGGCAGGAGAAUUGCUUGAACCCAGGAGGCAGAGGUUGCAGUGAGCCGAGAUCGUGCCACUGCACUCUAGCCUUGGGCAACAAAGCAAGACUCUGUCUCAG
This is an unclassified non-coding RNA of Papio anubis (olive baboon), 149 nucleotides long. It matches the Rfam family "Metazoan signal recognition particle RNA". From Rfam's summary of the family: The signal recognition particle (SRP) is a universally conserved ribonucleoprotein. It is involved in the co-translational targeting of proteins to membranes. The record is from Ensembl. Lineage: Eukaryota; Metazoa; Chordata; Mammalia; Primates; Cercopithecidae.